Molecule: non-coding RNA, 21 nt
Filed under: Caenorhabditis elegans
Lineage: Eukaryota; Metazoa; Nematoda; Chromadorea; Rhabditida; Rhabditidae
Source: RNAcentral
UUGACCAUAUUUAAUUCCAGG